This 1437-nucleotide ribosomal RNA is filed under the name uncultured organism. RNAcentral describes it as "16S ribosomal RNA". It matches the Rfam family "Bacterial small subunit ribosomal RNA". The record is from RNAcentral.
CAGGCUUAACACAUGCAAGUCGAGGGGCAGCAUCAUCAAAGCUUGCUUUGAUGGAUGGCGACCGGCGCACGGGUGAGUAACACGUAUCCAACCUGCCGACAACACUGGGAUAGCCUUUCGAAAGAAAGAUUAAUACCGGAUGGCAUAGUUUUCCCGCAUGGGAUAAUUAUUAAAGAAUUUCGGUUGUCGAUGGGGAUGCGUUCCAUUAGGCAGUUGGCGGGGUAACGGCCCACCAAACCGACGAUGGAUAGGGGUUCUGAGAGGAAGGUCCCCCACAUUGGAACUGAGACACGGUCCAAACUCCUACGGGAGGCAGCAGUGAGGAAUAUUGGUCAAUGGACGAGAGUCUGAACCAGCCAAGUAGCGUGAAGGAUGACUGCCCUAUGGGUUGUAAACUUCUUUUAUACGGGAAUAAAGUUAGCCACGUGUGGCUUUUUGUAUGUACCGUAUGAAUAAGGAUCGGCUAACUCCGUGCCAGCAGCCGCGGUAAUACGGAGGAUCCGAGCGUUAUCCGGAUUUAUUGGGUUUAAAGGGAGCGUAGGCGGGUUGUUAAGUCAGUUGUGAAAGUUUGCGGCUCAACCGUAAAAUUGCAGUUGAUACUGGCGACCUUGAGUGCAACAGAGGUAGGCGGAAUUUCGUGGUGUAGCGGUGAAAUGCUUAGAUAUCACGAAGAACUCCGAUUGCGAAGGCAGCUUACUGGAUUGUAACUGACGCUGAUGCUCGAAAGUGUGGGUAUCAAACGGGAUUAGAUACCCUGGUAGUCCACACAGUAAACGAUGAAUACUCGCUGUUGGCGAUAUACAGUCAGCGGCCAAGCGAAAGCAUUAAGUAUUCCACCUGGGGAGUACGCCGGCAACGGUGAAACUCAAAGGAAUUGACGGGGGCCCGCACAAGCGGAGGAACAUGUGGUUUAAUUCGAUGAUACGCGAGGAACCUUACCCGGGCUUAAAUUGCAACUGACUGAACCGGAAACGGUUCUUUCUUCGGACAGUUGUGAAGGUGCUGCAUGGUUGUCGUCAGCUCGUGCCGUGAGGUGUCGGCUUAAGUGCCAUAACGAGCGCAACCCUUAUCGAUAGUUACUAGCAGGUCAUGCUGAGGACUCUAUUGAGACUGCCGUCGUAAGAUGUGAGGAAGGUGGGGAUGACGUCAAAUCAGCACGGCCCUUACGUCCGGGGCUACACACGUGUUACAAUGGGGGGUACAGAAGGCAGCUACACGGCGACGUGGUGCUAAUCCCGAAAGCCUCUCUCAGUUCGGAUUGGAGUCUGCAACCCGACUCCAUGAAGCUGGAUUCGCUAGUAAUCGCGCAUCAGCCACGGCGCGGUGAAUACGUUCCCGGGCCUUGUACACACCGCCCGUCAAGCCAUGAAAGCCGGGGGUACCUGAAGUACGUAACCGCAAGGAGCGUCCUAGGGUAAAACUGGUGAUUGGGGCUAA